Molecule: RNase P RNA, 366 nt
Filed under: Candidatus Minthosoma equi
Lineage: Bacteria; Pseudomonadati; Bacteroidota; Bacteroidia; Bacteroidales; Bacteroidaceae
Description: RNase P RNA component class A
Rfam family: Bacterial RNase P class A
About the family: Ribonuclease P (RNase P) is a ubiquitous endoribonuclease, found in archaea, bacteria and eukarya as well as chloroplasts and mitochondria. Its best characterised activity is the generation of mature 5'-ends of tRNAs by cleaving the 5'-leader elements of precursor-tRNAs.
Source: RNAcentral
GCAGUCGGACGGUUUGUCGCUGGUGUGGCUUUAUGGCUGCACGAGAGGAAAGUCCGGGCAGCAUAGGGCAAUCCCACUUGCUAAUAUACAAGCAAUCCGCGAGGGUUGAGAAGUGCAGAAGAAAAUAACCGCCGCAAGGUAAGGGUGAGAAGGUGAGGUAAGAGCUCACCAGCGACAUGGUGACAUGCCGGCUGUGUACCUUGGGAGCUGCAAGUUCAUGUAAACUACCGCCAUCAGGGCUGCCCGCCCGAGAGUUCGGUAGAGGGUAGAACGCUUGAGACAUGCGGCGACGCAUGUACUGGAUAAAUGACAGACACAUGGCAUUCGUGCCAUGGACAGAACCCGGCUUAUAGGCUGACUGCUUUC